CAUACCAAAAGAAAAAGCAAAAAUUACUGAAAUCAGAAAUGAAAAGAGGUGCCUUUAUUACUGUUCUCAUGAACAUUAGGACUUUAGAAGGAUAAUAAAGGGAUGUUAUGAGCAACUCUUUGUGUGCAAAUUUGAUAACAUGAAAUGGACCAAUUCUGUGAAACCUCACACAAGGAGAAAUAAUGGCUUUGCAUAAACUUACAAAAUAAAUUCAGUCAAUUAUGUGCUUCCAAAGCAAAGCAUUGGUCUCAGAUGGUUUCACUAGUGAAGUCUACCAUUCAAGGAGAAAGUGAUGCCAAUUUUCUGCAAUCUGUUCUAGAAAAUAGAAGCAGAGGAAAUGCUUUAACACAUUCUGUGAGGCCACAUAACGCUGAUAACAAAAUUAGGUAAAAAUAUUACAAGAAAGGGCAACCACAAACCAGUAUCUCUCAUGAACAUAGCUAUAAAAAUUCUCAACAGAAUAUUAGCAAAUCUAAUGCAACAAUAUAUAACAAAAUAUACCAGAGUCAAGCGGGAUUUAUUUCAGGUAUGCAAGGCUGGUUCAACAUUGAAAUCAGUUCAUAUAAUUUAUUACAUUAUCACACUAAAGGAGAAAAGUCAUGAUUUUAUCAAUAGACACAGAUAAACCGUUUGACAAAACCAACACCUAUUUAUGAUAAAGACAGACAAAAUUAUCAACCAGCUAGGAAUAUAAGGAAAUCCUCAACUUCAUAAAGAAUAUCUACAAAAAAACCUACAGCUGGUGUUGCUGCCUGAGAGCCGGAGACAGUCCUGCAGCUGCCGCAGCACUGCUAGCCACCUGACAGUGUCCCACCUAGUCGAGCCACCGCUGUCCCUGCACAACAAUAACUGCGAGGAAAGUGACCAGUCUCCGCCCCCGCCUGCUGGCCUCAACAGUUCCGGGGUGGAGCUACCCAUGAAUAGCAGUAAUGGCAAUGGGAAAAAUGGGGGCUAGAACACGUACCUUCCUCAUCCUCCAUUCACAAUGGAGACAUGGAGAAGAUUCUUUUGGAUGCACAACAUGAAUCAGGACAGAGUAGUUCAAGAGGCAGUUCUCACUGUGACAGCCCUUUGCCAUAAGAAGAUGGGCAGAUCAUGUUUGAUGUGGAAAUGCACACCAGCAGGGACCAUAGCUUUCAGUCGGAAGAAGAAGUUGUAGAAGGAGAGAAAGAAAUUUGAGGCUUUGAAGAAAGGUGCAGAUUGAUUGUCAGACUGGUCCAGUAGACCCGAAAACGUUCCACCCAAGGAGUUCCACUUCAGACACCCUAAACAUUCUGUGUCUCUAAGCCUGAGGAAAAGUGAAGCCAUGAAGAAAGGGGGUAUCUUCUCCACAGAAUUUCUAAAGGUGUUCAUUCAUUCCAUCUCUCUUCCUUUCUCAUGUUUUGGCUUUGGGGCUAGGCAUCUAUAUUGGAAAGCGACUGAGCACACCCUCUGCCAGCACCUACUGAGGGAAAGGAAAAGCCCCUGGAAAUGUAUGUGACCUGUGAAGUGGUGUAUUGUCACAGUAGCUUAUUUGAACUUGAGACCAUUGUAAGCAUGACGCAGCCUACCACCCUGUUUUUACAUAUCCAAUUCCAGUAACUCUCAAAUCCAGUAUUUUAUUCAAACUCUGUUGAGGCAUUUUACUAACCUUAUACCCUUUUUGGCCCGUAGGACAUUUUAGAAUUUCCCAACAGUUUACUGUUGUUUAGAAAUUUGCAAGGGCUUCUUUUCCACAAAUGCCACCAGCAGAUUAUAAUUUUGUCAACAAUGCUGUUAUAUCUAAUUAGUACCACCAGACUAGACCUGUAUCAUUCAUGGUAUAAAUUUUACUCUUUCAACAUAACUACCAUUUAUCUCUUAAACUGAGAUCAGGUUAGCAAAUGAUGUCAAAGAAGCUUUAUUUUCUAGUUGGUUUUUCCCUUAAGACAAAGACAAGCUUCCCUAAGCUUGAGUUGAUAGUUACUAAAAAGAAAACAAACAAACAAAAAAGCAAGACACAAGAAAAAAAAAUCCUGGGCAAUAAAAAAUCAUUUUACACCAAAAAAAAAAAA
Cebus imitator (Panamanian white-faced capuchin) is the source of this 2033-nucleotide RNA transcript. It is a transcript of the gene named BCL2/adenovirus E1B 19 kDa protein-interacting protein 3-like, with no coding region annotated. The record is from RefSeq and is a predicted model, not a curated record. The transcript has a single exon. NCBI's taxonomy places the organism in Eukaryota, Metazoa, Chordata, Mammalia, Primates, Cebidae.